GGCGGAGUAGCUCAGGUGGUUAGAGCGCACGCCUGAUAAGCGUGAGGUCGGAGGUUCAAGUCCUCCUCGACCCACCA
RNAcentral lists this transfer RNA (77 nucleotides) under Paracoccaceae bacterium. RNAcentral's name for it is "Rhodobacteraceae bacterium (freshwater metagenome) tRNA-Ile". The stretch from base 8 to 66 matches the Rfam family "tRNA", at positions 8 to 63 of the family's 71-position model. Rfam says of the family: Transfer RNA (tRNA) molecules are approximately 80 nucleotides in length. Their secondary structure includes four short double-helical elements and three loops (D, anti-codon, and T loops). Further hydrogen bonds mediate the characteristic L-shaped molecular structure. tRNAs have two regions of fundamental functional importance: the anti-codon, which is responsible for specific mRNA codon recognition, and the 3' end, to which the tRNAs corresponding amino acid is attached (by aminoacyl-tRNA synthetases). tRNAs cope with the degeneracy of the genetic code in two manners: having more than one tRNA (with a specific anti-codon) for a particular amino acid; and 'wobble' base-pairing, i.e. permitting non-standard base-pairing at the 3rd anti-codon position. The record is from RNAcentral. Lineage: Bacteria; Pseudomonadati; Pseudomonadota; Alphaproteobacteria; Rhodobacterales; Paracoccaceae.